RNAcentral lists this transfer RNA (1370 nucleotides) under Phascolarctos cinereus (koala). RNAcentral's name for it is "lncRNA (ENSPCIG00000037347.1)". Lineage: Eukaryota; Metazoa; Chordata; Mammalia; Diprotodontia; Phascolarctidae. The record is from RNAcentral.
AAUGGAUCUUGACCCUCCCCUCUUGAAACAGAACCCCACGGCCGGGAAUUCAUGGAAUCUCCGUGGGUGGACAUCUCUAGGGGUUAUCGUCUCUACAUUUAUGAAGAACAUCCACUUGUACGUGCCUACACUCAGCAGUUCGAUUUCCAACCUAACUAGGAGGGAUGCCUCGUUAUGCUUUUCAUUUCUUUUCCGUGGUUGGAAAUUCCUUCCCGGGUCCAUCUCUUAGCUGAUAAGCACCCCAGGUAUCGCGUAAUCUCGAAAAUACUUCCUAGGGUUUGAAGUGUUUUGUUUCAUUCUUUUCUCUUUACUUUCAACAUCUCCAGAGGAAUAAGAAGUUCAAGGGGUUGUGACCACAAUGUGAACAAGAGAAAUUCUGAGAACAAAACAAAAACGGAGACGACCACGAAGGGACUCGAACCCUCAAUCUUCUGAUCCGGAAUCAGACGCCUUAUCCAUUAGGCCACGCGGCCUCUUACGUAGGUAUCCUUUUGCUUUCCCUAUAGAAAAGAGAGAGGGCGGGGCCAUUCCUCUUGCCCUUGAUUCCAUGAGUAGUUUCCCGUGUCUGUGCAUGUCGACCGCAGGAUCCGAGCCCCAGCUUGGAAAAAACUGCUAUUUCCUUCACUCAGACCCUUUUUGGAAAACUGGAAGGCGGAAGGCUCAGGCUGGCAGCUAGGAAUCUAGGUUUGUGCCUGGAUUCCUUCGUCUCUAAAGGGCCAAGAGCGAAAUGGCGAGUACAGGUCGCAGCCAACCACGCUCACCAAGAGAAGCCCGAGGCUAUGGGAUGCUCAACACAAGGGAGCUGCAGCCCCACCACCCCGCUCUCCGACAGAACAGAACAAUUUCUCGGGGGGGAAGGUGGAGUAGCCUCCAGUGUCUGGGGCCGGGCUCGGGAACCGCACCUCUGCAGAAGAGCACAGCAAGAAGGGAGGGUGCAGAGAUGCUGAGCUGAAGCUGUUCUAGGUCCAAGGUUCCACCAAAUGGCUUAUAAUGCUAACUACGUAUUGCUGGAGGGAGAGGAUUCUAGCAGAGUAGGAUGAAGGUGUUCACACUCCGAUCUCCGACUCCGUGUCUUUUCUCUGGCUGUCCCUCAGGCCUGGAAUUCCUUCCCUCCUUAUCUCAGCUUCCUGACCUUUCAGGCUUCCUUCAAACCCUAGCUAAAUUUGAUCUUCAGUAAAAAAGCUUUUCUCGAUCUCCCUUAACACUAGUGCUUUCCCCCUACUGAUUAUGUCCAAUUUAUCCUUCAUAGAGCUUGUUUGUACAGUUGUUUGCAAGAUAGUGAGUUCCUUCAGGGGGACGACUGUUUUUGCGUUCUUUGUGCGGUGCCUGGCAAAUAGCGGUUUAAUAAAUGCUUGCUGAUUGGCUGAACA